Long non-coding RNA from Seriola dumerili (greater amberjack), 254 nucleotides. RefSeq lists it as uncharacterized. Lineage: Eukaryota; Metazoa; Chordata; Actinopteri; Carangiformes; Carangidae. The transcript has 3 exons. The record is from RefSeq and is a predicted model, not a curated record.
UUUUCAUUCAGGUUGAGGAGAUCCAACCAGGAUAUUCUAAACUCAACUACGUGUUUCUGGCCAAGUGCUACAAAGACCUGGGGCAGACGGAAAAAGCUCGGAAGAUGUGUGAAGCUGCUUGUUCAAUGAAUGCCGUCUCCAAAGAGGAUGGAGAGGCACAGAAGGAGCUGGACUUGCUCUGCCCAGCGCUCGGAGUGUGACGAUCAUUCUGUUUGGCAUUUAUUUUCCCUGUGUGUGUGUGUGUGUGUGUGUGU